RNAcentral lists this ribosomal RNA (279 nucleotides) under uncultured bacterium. RNAcentral's name for it is "partial 16S ribosomal RNA". It matches the Rfam family "Bacterial small subunit ribosomal RNA", at positions 506 to 784 of the family's 1533-position model. The record is from RNAcentral.
UGCCAGCCGCCGCGGUAAUACGGAGGGUGCAAGCGUUGUUCGGAAUUACUGGGCGUAAAGCGCGCGUAGGCGGGUCAGUAAGUCGAUUGUGAAAUCCCGGAGCUCAACUCCGGACGUGCAGUCGAAACUGCCGAUCUUGAAUACCUAAGAGGAUGGCGGAAUUCCCGGUGUAGGAGUGAAAUCCGUAGAUAUCGGGAGGAACACCCGAGGCGAAGGCGGCCAUCUGGUGGUGUAUUGACGCUGAAGCGCGAAAGCGUGGGGAGCAAACAGGAUUAGAUA